AUGGAGGAAGGCCCUUGCGCUUACACAAGGGAGGGCCCGCGGCGGGCCCCCUGUUCCUCCAGGGCCGGGCGGGCCGGGCGGGCCGGGCCGGGCCAGGGGGCUGCAGCCUCGGGGCGGCUUUGCAUAAAUAGAGGGGCCGCGCCGCAGCGCAGGGCGCACCCGGGGCGGUCCCGGGGCGGGGGCCGCGCGGAGCCGGGCGGGGCGGGUUCCUACCUGCGCGCUGCCGAGCGCCCUGACCGGGCGGCCUUAACAGUUAGAGACGCGGGCGGUCAAGCUGUCGCCGCCGGGCAGGGCCGCGGCCGGGUGCAGGGUCCCCAGGGCGGCGGACGAGGACACGGAGGAGGCUGCGGCGGCCGCGAGCGAGCGGCCCAAGUCCUUACAAGGACCUCACGCUGGCACUUCCAAGUCCAAGUUUUAGAAGCGCUCCUCGGAGAGCUAAAUCAACAGCGCGGAGCCAGGCGGAGCACUAGGGCGGCACAGGAAGGAAGACGGCUGCAGGCCAGCAGCUCCUUCAGACGCAGAGCCUUACACCGAGGCAAGUGA
This 543-nucleotide long non-coding RNA is filed under the name Canis lupus familiaris (dog). Its description in RNAcentral is "lncRNA (ENSCAFG00040006319.1)". Lineage: Eukaryota; Metazoa; Chordata; Mammalia; Carnivora; Canidae. The record is from RNAcentral.